AGAACGAACGCUGGCGGCGUGGAUAAGACAUGCAAGUCGAACGGGACAGUCUGGUAGCAAUAUUAGACUGUUCAGUGGCGAACGGGUGCGUAACACGUGGGUCACAUUCCGGGAAGUGAGAAAUAGCCCAGGGAAACUUGGAUUAAUACCUCAUGUGGUCGCAAGACUAAAGGCGCAAGCCGCUUCCUGAUUGGCCCGCGGCCUAUCAGCUAGUUGGUGAGGUAAUGGCUCACCAAGGCAACGACGGGUAGCUGGUCUGAGAGGACGACCAGCCACACUGGAACUGAGACACGGUCCAGACACCUACGGGUGGCAGCAGUCGAGAAUCUUUCACAAUGGGCGAAAGCCUGAUGGAGCGACGCCGCGUGGAGGUUAAGGUCUUCGGAUUGUAAACUCCUGUCAUGCGAGAACAAAGCCCGCAAGGGUCUGAUAGUAUACGCAAGAGAAGAGACGGCUAACGUCUGUCGCCAGCAGCCGGACGUAAUCGUA
RNAcentral lists this ribosomal RNA (489 nucleotides) under uncultured soil bacterium. RNAcentral describes it as "bacterial SSU rRNA". It matches the Rfam family "Bacterial small subunit ribosomal RNA", at positions 26 to 528 of the family's 1533-position model. The record is from RNAcentral.